Molecule: ribosomal RNA, 277 nt
Filed under: uncultured Glomus
Lineage: Eukaryota; Fungi; Glomeromycota; Glomeromycetes; Glomerales; Glomeraceae
Description: partial 18S ribosomal RNA
Rfam family: Eukaryotic small subunit ribosomal RNA
Source: RNAcentral
UUGGAGGGCAAGUCUGGUGCCAGCAGCCGCGGUAAUUCCAGCUCCAAUAGCGUAUAUUAAAGUUGUUGCAGUUAAAAAGCUCGUAGUUGAAUUUCGGGACUAGUACGUCGGUCGUGCCUUAGGUACGUACUGGUGUUACUGGUUCCUACCUUCUGACGAACCAUCAUGUCAUUAAUUUGGUGUGGUGGGGAAUCAGGACUGUUACUUUGAAAAAACUUAGAGUGUUUAAAGCAGGCUCGCGCUUGAAUACAUUAGCAUGGAAUAAUGAAAUAGGACG